UGCAUCGGCAGGGAAUCGAACCCGGGCCGCCCGCGUGGCUGGCGAGCAUUCUACCACUGAACCAACGAUGG
RNAcentral lists this transfer RNA (71 nucleotides) under Cordylochernes scorpioides. Its description in RNAcentral is "tRNA-Gly". The record is from RNAcentral. Lineage: Eukaryota; Metazoa; Arthropoda; Arachnida; Pseudoscorpiones; Chernetidae.